AAGUGGUUAGCUCAGUUGGUAGAGCAGCUGAUUCUUAAUCAGUUUGUCGUGAGAUCGUAGCUCACACCAUUUA
RNAcentral lists this transfer RNA (73 nucleotides) under Blastococcus fimeti. RNAcentral's name for it is "Blastococcus sp. DSM 44205 tRNA_Lys_CTT". It matches the Rfam family "tRNA". From Rfam's summary of the family: Transfer RNA (tRNA) molecules are approximately 80 nucleotides in length. Their secondary structure includes four short double-helical elements and three loops (D, anti-codon, and T loops). Lineage: Bacteria; Bacillati; Actinomycetota; Actinomycetes; Geodermatophilales; Geodermatophilaceae. The record is from RNAcentral.